CAGCCGCCGCGGUAAUACGUAGGGUGCAAGCGUUAAUCGGAAUUACUGGGCGUAAAGCGUGCGCAGGCGGUUUUGUAAGACAGAGGUGAAAUCCCCGGGCUCAACCUGGGAACUGCCUUUGUGACUGCAAGGCUGGAGUGCGGCAGAGGGGGAUGGAAUUCCGCGUGUAGCAGUGAAAUGCGUAGAUAUGCGGAGGAACACCGAUGGCGAAGGCAAUCCCCUGGGCCUGCACUGACGCUCAUGCACGAAAGCGUGGGGAGCAAACAGGAUUAGAUACCCGGUAGUCCCUGUCUCUUAUACA
Molecule: ribosomal RNA, 301 nt
Filed under: uncultured bacterium
Lineage: Bacteria
Description: partial 16S ribosomal RNA
Rfam family: Bacterial small subunit ribosomal RNA
Source: RNAcentral